AUUGAACGCUGGCGGCAUGCCUUACACAUGCAAGUCGAACGGCAGCGCGGACUUCGGUCUGGCGGCGAGUGGCGAACGGGUGAGUAAUACAUCGGAACGUACCCUGUUGUGGGGGAUAACUAGUCGAAAGAUUAGCUAAUACCGCAUACGACCUGAGGGUGAAAGUGGGGGACCGCAAGGCCUCACGCAGCAGGAGCGGCCGAUGUCUGAUUAGCUAGUUGGUGGGGUAAAGGCCCACCAAGGCGACGAUCAGUAGCUGGUCUGAGAGGACGAUCAGCCACACUGGGACUGAGAUACGGCCCAGACUCCUACGGGAGGCAGCAGUGGGGAAUUUUGGACAAUGGGGGCAACCCUGAUCCAGCAAUGCCGCGUGUGUGAAGAAGGCCUUCGGGUUGUAAAGCACUUUUGUCCGGAAAGAAAUCGCGCUGGUUAAUACCUGGCGUGGAUGACGGUACCGGAAGAAUAAGCACCGGCUAACUACGUG
RNAcentral lists this ribosomal RNA (484 nucleotides) under uncultured bacterium. RNAcentral's name for it is "partial 16S ribosomal RNA". It matches the Rfam family "Bacterial small subunit ribosomal RNA", at positions 30 to 507 of the family's 1533-position model. The record is from RNAcentral.